This 2862-nucleotide ribosomal RNA is filed under the name hot springs metagenome. RNAcentral describes it as "bacterial LSU rRNA". It matches the Rfam family "Bacterial large subunit ribosomal RNA". The record is from RNAcentral.
AGGGCACGUGGGGGAUGUCUAGGCGCCAGGAGGCGAAGAAGGGCGUGGCAGACUGCGAUAAGCCCGGUGGAGCUGUCAAACGAGCGUUGAGACCGGGAUACCCGAAUUACCGCACGCUCAAUCCAUAGGCGUGCGGAGCGAACCCGGGGAACUGAAACAUCUCAGUACCCGGAGGAAAAGAAAGCAAACGCGACUCCGUCAGUAGCGGCGAGCGAACGCGGACCAGCCCAAACCAGCCGGACUCGUCCGGCUGGGGUUGUAGGACCGGCCAAGAGAACGUUUAGUACUCUAGUCGAACACUCUGGAAUGGGUGACCACAGAAGGUGAAAGUCCUGUAGACGACAGGGGAAAGACGUUCGGUCGGCUCCUGAGUAAGACCGAACACGGGAAAGUCGGUCUGAAGCAGCGGGGCCCAUCCCGCAAGGCUAAGUACUCCCUGGCGACCGAUAGCGAACCCAGUAGCGCGAGCGAAAGAUGGGAAGAACCCCGCUAAGGGGAGGAUAGUGAACCUGAAACCACGUGCCUACAAGCGGUCGGAGCCCUGUGGGGGCAACCCCCGGGUGACGGCGUGCCUUUUGCAUAAUGAUCCGGCGACUUACCGUCGUCAGCGAGGUUAAGCCGUUCUGCGGCGGAGCCAGAGCGAAAGCGAGUCUGAACAGGGCGUUUGGUUGGCGGCGGUAGACGCGAAACCACGUGAUCUACGCAUGGGCAGGAUGAAGUGGGGGUAAUACCCCAUGGAGGUCCGAACACACCAGUGUUGAAAAACUGGGUGAUGACCUGUGUGGAGGAUUGAAAGUAUCAUCAAACGUGGAGAUAGCUCGUUCUCUCCGAAAUAACUUUAGGGUUAACGUCGUGGUAGUAGGCAGAGGGGGUAGAGCGACUGAAUUCGACAGGGGGCCUACCCGGCUACCCUUCGAAACCAAACUCCGAAUACCUCUGUACCUAGCUGCGGCAGCUAGACGGCGAGGGAUAAGCUUCGUCGUCGAGAGGGGAACAACCCAGACCGCCCGCUAAGGUCCCCCAAGUACGCUCAGUGCGAAAGGAAGUUGGACUCCCCAGACAGCCAGGAUGUUGGCUUAGAAGCAGCCACCAUUUCAAAAGUGCGUAAUAGCUUACUGGUCGAGGAGUCCUGCGCCGAUAAUGAACGGGACUAAGCGUACUACCGAAGCGGCGGGUGGACUGUGGGAUUAAUCCUGGCAGUCCACGGUAGGAGAGCGUCGCCCACCGGGUGAAGGGGUACGGACAACGAGCCCUGGACGGUGGGGGAGUGAUAAUGCCGGAACGAGUAACGCUAAAACAGGUGAGAAUCCUGUUCGCCGAAAGCCUAAGGUUUCCUGGGGAAGGUAAAUCCGCCCAGGGUUAGUCGGACCCUAAGACGAGGCCCAAAGGCGUAGUCGAUGGACGGCCGGUUAAUAUUCCGGCACCAUCCGCGUAGGCUCGAAGCUUCUUGUGACGCUGGCCUGAAGAGGAGCGGCCGGCUAGACGGGGCCGUCCCGCAAGGGCGAGGGCAGAUACGAUCCCGAAGUCCUCGGACGGACAGCCAAGAAAAACCAAGAAGCUACAAAGCGGAUGCCCGUACUAAAACUGACACAGGUAGGCGGGAUGAAGAUUCUCAGGCGCUCGAGAGAACGCUCGUGAAGGAACUCGGCAAAUUAACCCCGUAACUUCGGGAGAAGGGGUGCCCUUGCGGGUGUCAGAGCCUGCGGGGGCCGCAGUGAAAGGGAUCUGGCGACUGUUUACUAAAAACACAGGUCUCUGCCAACUCGUAAGAGGAUGUAUAGAGACUGACGCCUGCCCGGUGCCGGUAAGUUAAGGAAGAGGGUUAGCGGGUUCACCCGCGAAGCUCGCAACCGAAGCUCCGGUAAACGGCGGCCGUAACUAUGACGGUCCUAAGGUAGCGAAGUUCCUUGUCGGGUAAGUUCCGACCUGCAUGAAUGGCGUAACGACCGGAUCACUGUCUCCACGAGCGACUCGGUGAAACUGUAGUUGUUGUGAAGAUGCAACAUACCCGCAACUAGACGGAAAGACCCCGUGAACCUUUACUGCAGCUUAGCAUUGGGUUUAGGCCCAGCAUGCGUAGCGUAGGUGGGAGGCUGUGAACCAGGGAUCCCGGUCUCUGGGGAGCCGCCCCUGAAACACCACCCUUGUUGUGCUUGAAUUCUAACUCCGUCCCGUGCAUCCGGGCGGUGGACAGUGCUAAGUGGGCAGUUUGACUGGGGCGGUCUCCUCCUAAAAGGUAACGGAGGAGUCCCAAGGUACCCUCAACCCGGUUGGCAAUCGGGUUUCGAGCGUAAAGGUACAAGGGUGCUUGACUGCGAGACCGAUAAGUCGAGCAGGUGCGAAAGCAGGGCUUAGUGAUCCGGCGGUGCUGGAUGGAAAGGCCGUCGCUCAACAGAUAAAAGGUACUCCGGGGAUAACAGGCUUAUCUCCCCUGAGCGUUCACAGCGGCGGGGAGGUUUGGCACCUCGAUGUCGGCUCAUCGCUUCCUGGGGGUGGAGAAGCUCCCAAGGGUUUGGCUGUUCGCCAAUGAAAGCGGUACGUGAGCUGGGUUUAGACCGUCGUGAGACAGGUCGGUCCCUAUCUGUUGCGGGCGGAGGAGACUUGCGCAGCUUUUUCCCUAGUACGAGAGGAUUGGGAAGGACGCACCGCUGGUGUGCCAGUUGUCGCGCUAGCGGCAACGCUGGGUAGCUAUGUGCGGCUCGGAUAAACGCUGAAGGCAUCUAAGCGUGAAACCCCCUGCAAGAUCAGGUCUCCUGUCCCUUCGGGACGAAGGCUCCUGGAAGACGACCAGGUCGAUAGGCCGGAAGUGUAUGUGUGGCAACACACGCAGCCGACCGGUACUAACAGCCGAACGCUUCGCCG